This 244-nucleotide long non-coding RNA is filed under the name Parus major (Great Tit). Its description in RNAcentral is "lncRNA (ENSPMJG00000019984.1)". The record is from RNAcentral. Lineage: Eukaryota; Metazoa; Chordata; Aves; Passeriformes; Paridae.
CCAGAAGGGCUGGGAAGAGGAGGAGGAACCCUCCAAACCUGGAAUUGCGAGGGAAGAGUGUGCAGCCCACCCUGCUCCGAGGCACUGCUGAGUGAAGGAACUGCGGGAUGCACAUCUCAGGUAAACAAGAUGUCAAGAGCACAUUGCACCUGGGCAAAAACCUUUUAAUUUCUCCACUUUGUUUAUAACCCCCUUGCACCAUCUCUCUAAGAAGAGCAAUAAGACCAUUUUAUUGGUGAAUAUG